CCUACGGGGGGCUGCAGUGAGGAAUAUUGCGCAAUGGAGGCAACUCUGACGCAGCCAUGCCGCGUGCAGGAAGAAGGCGCUACGCGUUGUAAACUGCUUUUAUCCGGGAAGAAACCCCAGGACGUGUCCUGGGUUGACGGUACCGGAGGAAUAAGCACCGGCUAACUUCGUGCCAGCAGCCGCGGUAAUACGAAGGGUGCAAGCGUUAUCCGGAUUCAUUGGGUUUAAAGGGUGCGUAGGCGGGGCGUUAAGUCAGUGGUGAAAUCCUGCAGCUCAACUGUAGACUUGCCAUUGAUACUGGCGCUCUUGAGUGCGCUUGAAGUGGGCGGAAUGUGCCGUGUAGCGGUGAAAUGCUUAGAUAUGGCACAGAACACCAAUUGCGAAGGCAGCUUACUAAGGCGAUACUGACGCUGAGGCACGAAAGCGUGGGGAUCAAACAGGAUUAGAUACCCUUGUAGUCCUC
RNAcentral lists this ribosomal RNA (463 nucleotides) under uncultured Cryomorphaceae bacterium. RNAcentral describes it as "bacterial SSU rRNA". It matches the Rfam family "Bacterial small subunit ribosomal RNA", at positions 338 to 798 of the family's 1533-position model. Lineage: Bacteria; Pseudomonadati; Bacteroidota; Flavobacteriia; Flavobacteriales; Cryomorphaceae. The record is from RNAcentral.